GAUGAAGAACGUAGCGAAAUGCGAAAAGUAGUGUGAAUUGCAGAAUUCAGUGAAUCAUCGAAUCUUUGAACGCACAUUGCGCCCGCCAGUAUUCUGGCGGGCAUGCCUGUUCGAGCGUCAUUACAACCCUCAAGCCCCCCGGCUUGGUGUUGGGGACCGGCCACCGGUGCCCUGCUGCUUCCGCGGCAGGCGCGCCCGGCCGCCCCCGAAAUGAAUUGGCGGCCCCGUCGCGGCCUCCCUCUGCGUAGUAGCACACAUCUCGCAGCUGGAGCGCGGCGCGGCCACUGCCGUAAAACGCACCAACUUUUUUUUACAGUUGACCUCGAAUCAGGUAGGAAUACCCGCUGAACUUAAGCAUAUCAAUAAGCGGAGGA
RNAcentral lists this unclassified non-coding RNA (374 nucleotides) under soil metagenome. RNAcentral's name for it is "partial contains 5.8S ribosomal RNA, internal transcribed spacer 2, and large subunit ribosomal RNA". The stretch from base 1 to 120 matches the Rfam family "5.8S ribosomal RNA", at positions 35 to 154 of the family's 154-position model. The record is from RNAcentral.